CCAAGAUGGUGUUUGAUGUGUAUGUUGUUUAUUGGAGAUCAUCUGUGGAAAGGAGGCACGGAUGCUGGGCUCCUUCUUGGAAAGUCAGAAAUUCCGGAUCUUCUAACAGCAAUUCUGCGGAGGGGAGUGUGAUCUGCAUUGCACAUUUUGUGAAGCCCAGUGGCAAAUGGCUCUGUGGCUGCUUCUCGGCUGAGGGUUUUGUUUUUGACUCGGGCAUGUGGAGUAGAGCCACCUGUGGCCCGUGAGCAGCGAUGAGAAGGCAGGAGAGCUUGCCAAGAUCAGCAUCACUCUGGGCUUUGGCCCAACUGACCAGCCGGUUUCCCUGCCUUGGAAAUUCGGGCUGCCGCGCAGCCAGCUGGCUGGGUGCUCCUGCCAGGGCUGCCUCCCCGGGUGGGGAGGGUCAACAGCUAGGACCACAGGGGCCGCUGGACCCGCCAUGACGGGCGACAGGGAACCUGGAAGGGCAGCUCCUCCAUGUUGCUGCCAAUUUCCCUUUGUCGUUGGCCUCCGUGUCCAUUAAUGAUUCCAGAUAGUCACAUUCUCUUCCCUCUGCCCUCAUCUCAGUACAGAUAUUCAGUCAGUGUAUACCUGAUGAGAGCAGUGGUUGAUAAAAUAUUAUAUUUCUUUGUACUGGUCAGCAGUCAGUGCCGGAGCCCCAGACUUACCACCAGGCACCUCUCCAGGGCCCCCCUAGCCCUCCCCAGGGUCUGAGGGGUGAAGGGCUCAUGCUUUCAGGAGUACAGCACUGUCUAAAGAUUGACCUGCAUCUACCCCACGCUGUUGUUCAAUGCUGUGAACUGAACCUGUGAACUGAACCUCUUUCUUUUUCUUUCUCCCUCUGACCUUAAUUUCCUGCCUUUGACCCCCAAUUCUGCUUUUGGCCAUUCCCUUAUUCUACGAUCCCUCAAACAACCUACAGGCCAGUCUCCUUUGUUCCAGAAUCCUGCGCUGGUUCUCCUUUCCCAUGCUGAAGAACGGCCCACCUUCCUCUGCUUUGGUCCUGGCAGGGAAAGCCAUCUUGGAGGACCACAAGCAGUGGGCUUGAUGAGAUGAGAUCACAGCCCAGCUGACAUUUUGACUGCAGCCUUGUGAGGUCCUGAACAGAGGACCCACGAAGCCCUGCUGGAGUCUUCAUCCAUGGAAGCCUCAAAAUUUAUGACGUCUGAGAAACUUGGUCAGACGCUGACAGGGGCCCAGAUCCUGACGAUGGUACCCCACAUUUCUCAUUAAUGUCCCUGUCUCUCCAGGGCCUGAGUCUGCCACCUACCUGUAAGGAGGGCGACCUGCAGGAGGUGACCAAGCUCUGGCUCCGUGGCUGAGGGCCUGUCCCCAUGGUCAUUGCCUGCAAACCCUAGGAUUAUGGAUCUCAACAUGCAGGAACAGAGAGAGAGCAAGAAUGAGGUCAGUUGAGACAGUCUUGUUCUGCUAAGUUGGGGUGGCAAACUGCGUGUUGAGAAAUGCAAAGCGAUGGAGUGCCCUCUGCCAGAGCACAGCCGCAUGAAUGUCCCCACAGGCCAGGUCGGGGGAGACAGAUCAGGUUGGGGACAAAAAAAAAAAGAGCUCCAACCAAAAAAAUGUAGCUCAGGAUCAGCACCAGGACAGGAUUAAUGCCAGAAUCCAACAGCAGCUUGAUAUUUUCAUAGUUUUCCAUAGGUACUGGGUUUCCCCCCAUAUAUAUCGGUUUUAACUAUUUAACUAUUGACUAUUGACAAACGGUGGUUUGUUUUUUCCAUUAGUUCUUUUAAAAUAAUCCCCAUGUUGUUUUCCACAAACACCGUGUCUGAAGAGCCUGUGCAGCGCAUCACGUUGUUGAUAUGCCCCCAAGCACUGUAAGUUGAGUGGUACACAGAGUAAGAGGGUCCUGCCACAAUCUACAAAACACAAAAUUAACUUUAAGAUGUUACCAUACAUAUUGUAGCUUCUUGCCUGUAUUUUGAAAAUAAAUGAUGCAAGUACUAUUCAUGAGGUCUAUAAACCUUUUUGAUGUGAUGACAAGUCUUUUCCAUUUUAUGGACAAGGCAGGGAGGCCUGGUGGGGUUAAGUCACAUGCUUGAAAAGAUGGGAAACCAUUGCCUUACUGGUGGAGUCAAGGGGACUCCCCUGACCCGGUGGGUGGUGUUUGGGCAGCUACCACGCCGCCACCAGUAACCUGAAAUUAGGAUGAACUUGUACUUCCAUCCAAUGGUUCCUUAGCAGCUGCCCACCUCCAGGAUCGGCUCCCCCCACAGCAUCUGAUACAGCUGAUCCCCUUCCCAGGCCUACUUGUUACCCAGGGAAGUCAUGAAAAGCAUUGUUUUUAGAGACACGAUUAAAAUGCACUUAUAGGGGUGCC
Long non-coding RNA from Callorhinus ursinus (northern fur seal), 2332 nucleotides. RefSeq lists it as uncharacterized. NCBI's taxonomy places the organism in Eukaryota, Metazoa, Chordata, Mammalia, Carnivora, Otariidae. The record is from RefSeq and is a predicted model, not a curated record.